UUUUUUUUUUUUUUUUUUUUUUUUUUUUUUUUAAU
This 35-nucleotide non-coding RNA is filed under the name Alexandrium minutum. The record is from RNAcentral. Lineage: Eukaryota; Dinophyceae; Gonyaulacales; Pyrocystaceae.